GCGCAUGUGCGCGGUGUGGCUCCAGGUCGCAGCUUCAUGGCCUGAUGCCUUCAGGAAGUAUUUUGAAGUCAUCGUGGCUGUGGAUUGGGGGAUUUCUUGUUUCCACUGACCUGUGAGGCCGCGCACGUGGAGGGAGGCACCCCGGGUCCUCCGGCACUGUCCGGCCUCGCCUGUGUCCCUAGUAGCAGUGGGCAUUUCCAGACGGUGCAGCUUGUGGCUAAAGUGACAGGAAGAUGUAGGAGCUUUCAGUCUUGGAUGAGGAUUCGAACUGAAGGGCUUAGGCCCAGCUGUCUUGGAGCAAAACAUCUGUUGUGGGAUGUGGCGGCAGAGGAGGGCAAGGCCGAAGGAGCAGACAGCACCGCUUCUUGGGGAGUUGUGAAGGCAUCAUGCGGAGGGCCGAGCUUAGCAGCCAAGUGGAGGACAGCACCCUCCAUGCCUGGAUUCGUUACUCGCUCGUUCUCGAUGUUGAGCUGCUGGCAUAUUGCAGCACAACUAGAGAUGUACGGAUGCCCCCAUCUUGAUCUUACAGAAUCAGAGGUGCAGCCGCAAGAAAGCUACACCCUCUCGGUUUUCUCUGCUCUGCCAACACUAGUGGAAUAUGAUCACAUCCCAGGGAUCAGUGUCAUUUAGGGAUGUGACUAUGGGCUUCACUCAAGAGGAGUGGCAUCAUCUGGACCCUGCUCAGAGGACCCUGUAGAGGAAUGUGAUGCUGGAGAACUACAGCCACCUUGUCUCAGUAGGGUAUUGCAUUCCUAAACCAGAAGUGAUCCUCAAAUUGGAGACAGGCAAGGAGCCAUGGAUAUUAGAGGAAAAAUUUCGAAGCCAGAGUCAUCUGGGUGAGUUAGUGCCAGAUGGAAUUUAAAGAAUUAAUUAAUACCAGUAGAAACUAUUCAAGAAUGAAGUUCAAUGAGUUUAACAAAGGUGGAAAAUGUUUCUGUGAUGAAAGCAUGAAAUAAUUCAUUUUGAAGAGGAACCUUCUGAAUAUAAUAACAAUGGGAACAGCUUCUGGCUGAAUGAAGACCUCAUUUGGCAUCAGAAGAUUAAAAAUUGGGAGCAACCUUUUGAAUACAAUGAAUGUGGGAAAGCUUUCCCUGAGAAUUCACUCUUCCUUGUACAUAAGAGAGCUUACACAGGACAGAAAACAUGCAAAUAUACUGAACAUGGGAAAACCUGUUAUAUGUCAUUUUUUAUUACUCAUCAGCAAACACAUCCAAGAGAGAACCACUAUGAAUGUAAUGAAUGUGGAGAAAGUAUCUUUGAGGAAUCCAUUCUCUUUGAACAUCAGAAUGUUUACCCAUUCAGCCAGAAUUUAAAUCCCACUCUAAUUCAGAGAACCCACUCAAUUAGCAAUAUUAUUGAAUAUAAUGAAUGUGGAACCUUUUUCAGUGAAAAAUUAGCCCUUCAUUUACAACAGAGAACACAUCCAGGGGAAAAACCUUAUGAAUGUCAUGAAUGUGGAAAAACCUUCACCCAGAAGUCAGCCCACACAAGACAUCAGAGAACACACACAGGGAAAACCCUAUGAAUGUCACGGAUGUGGGAAGACCUUCUAUAAGAAUUCAGACCUCAUUAGAAAUCAAAGAAUUCACACAGGGGAGAGACCUUACAGAUGUCAUGAAUGGAGAAAUCCUUCAGUGAAAAGUCAUCCCUUACUCAAAAUCAGAGAACACACGUGGGGAGAAAUCAUGAAUGUCAUGAAUGUGGGAAAACCUCGUUUAAGUCAGUUCUAACUGUGCAUCAGAAAACACACAGGGGAGAAGCCCUAUGAAUGCUAUGCAUGUGGCAACACCUUUCUCAGAAAAUCCGACCUCAUUAAACAUCAGAGAAUUCACACAGGAGAAAAACCUUAUGAAUGUAAUGAAUGUGGGAAGUCAUUCUCCGAGAAGUCAACCCUUACUAAACAUCUAAGAACACACAGAUGGGAAAUCUUAUGCAUGUAUUCAAUGUGGAAAAUUUUUCUGCUGCUACUACAGUUUCACAGAACAUCUGAGAAGACACACAGGGGAGAAACCUUUUGGAUGUAAUGAAUGUGGGAAAACCUUCCAUCAGAAGUUGGCCCUAAUUGUUCACCAGAGAACUCAUAUAAGACAGAAACCCUAUGGAUGUAAUGAAUGUGGAAAAUCAUUCUGUGUGAAGUCAAAACUCAUUGCACAUCAUAGAACAUACACAGGGGAGAAACCCUAUGAAUGUAA
This is a long non-coding RNA of Homo sapiens (human), 2192 nucleotides long. Ensembl annotates it as zinc finger protein 37B, pseudogene. Its record names the gene ZNF37BP. The record is from Ensembl. Lineage: Eukaryota; Metazoa; Chordata; Mammalia; Primates; Hominidae.